Molecule: long non-coding RNA, 845 nt
Organism: Gallus gallus (chicken)
Lineage: Eukaryota; Metazoa; Chordata; Aves; Galliformes; Phasianidae
Source: Ensembl
GUCAGAAUACCAUCCAAGGUGUAAUUUACUCUGAGGUCAAUUGGAAGUGAGGUCACGCAGCAGUUGCAAAUCUGCUUCCUAGUUCUCACGACCUGUGUGCCAAACAAUUGUCAUUAAUAAGAUUAAAUUGGCAUAGGAAAAAAUAUGGAUGCACUUAUAGGGAGACUUGUAAAGCUGUAAGAGUCUUUAAGAGCUGGCUUGCACAGUAGUUAGUGCCUGGAUACUUUUUAGCUCCUGGUUAAUUCUGCUCAGUUGCUCUAAUCAGAACAGUCGUUUAUCAGUUUUUCCAACUUGUGUUGAAAUUUCAGAAGGAUACUGUCCAACAGAGGAUGGCAAAGUUUAUUUCUUCAGGUCAGUGUCUUUUAUUUUGUAUUUUUUUAUCUGAAGAGACCAAGGAAUCCCAAGCUCUUAUUGUCUCCGUCUGUCUUUUUGUUUUGGUUUUUUUUUGUUGUUGUUGUUUGUUUUGUUUUGUUUUGUUUUGCUUCAUGGGGAAGAGUUGUGUGGUUCAAAGAAAACACGAAUAUUUUUCAGUUUGGAUGGAACCAUGCAGUCCUGGGGAAGGCAAGUCCAUGGAAGAAAGCAACAGUGUUUGACAAUGGAUACCAAAUGCUUGCAAAACUACACUUCGUAGGAGGAACAGCUCUUUUCCUUAGCUGAAGUCUCUGCAAACAUUUUACCCAACUAUGAACCCUAAGGAAUAGCAUGAUGACUAUUAUAAUGCAACAGACAAUUUUAGCUAGAGCUUGGAAACCAGUGUCUUCAAGUGUUUCAAGAAGAAGUUACAAGAUUGGUUGAAGUCUAUAAUGGAAAGUAAAAUGCUCUAAAUAAACAUAAUAAAACUAUAC